ACGGGAGGCAGCAGUGGGGAAUAUUGGGCAAUGGGCGCAAGCCUGACCCAGCAACGCCGCGUGAAGGAAGAAGGCUUUCGGGUUGUAAACUUCUUUGACGGGGGAAGAGCAGAAGACGGUACCCCGAAAACAAGCCACGGCUAACUACGUGCCAGCAGCCGCGGUAAUACGUAGGUGGCGAGCGUUGUCCGGAUUUACUGGGUGUAAAGGGCGUGUAGCCGGGUUGGCAAGUCAGGUGUGAAAUGCACAGGCUUAACCUGUGAACUGCAUUUGAAACUGUUGAUCUUGAGUAUCGGAGAGGCAAUCGGAAUUCCUAGUGUAGCGGUGAAAUGCGUAGAUAUUAGGAGGAACACCAGUGGCGAAGGCGGAUUGCUGGACGACAACUGACGGUGAGGCGCGAAAGUGUGGGGAGCGAACAGGAUUAGAUACCCUGGUA
RNAcentral lists this ribosomal RNA (436 nucleotides) under uncultured Oscillibacter sp. Its description in RNAcentral is "partial 16S ribosomal RNA". It matches the Rfam family "Bacterial small subunit ribosomal RNA", at positions 341 to 792 of the family's 1533-position model. The record is from RNAcentral. Lineage: Bacteria; Bacillati; Bacillota; Clostridia; Eubacteriales; Oscillospiraceae.